AUGCAAGUGAAACUGAGGUUGCUCCUUUAACACCUGUUAACAUGGAGUACCCACCCUACCUUUCUUUUUUUUUCUUUUUUUUUUUUUGUCUCCUUUCAAAUUCCAUGAAGAUAUUUUAAAAAUUAGAAUACCAAGAUACCACCAACAUUAUUCAGACAAUGCACUGAAGAUCCCCCAAAUAAACUGCGACUACUGAAGCGGCUUACAAUCAUCAGUACAAAUUCCAUCAUGAAGUAGGAAUAUUAAAAGAGGAAAAUGCAAUAGCGCCCGGCUGAAUUCAUUGUUGCAUACCACAGAGCAUGGUAUUAUCUGGGGAAACAAGGUAGUCUGGGGAAUUAUAAGAACAAUAGCAGGUUUUUUGUGUUUUCAUUUGUGUGUAUCCCCAGCAUCUAUUCAUUAAUCCUAAUUGUCUAGAAUCCACCUGUGAACUGACAGGAAUUUACAUAAACAGUACAUUGAGGACUUCUCCAAUUAUUUAUCACUACAUAAAAACUACAUCAAAUUUUAUGCCUUAAAGCAAUAACUCAUUAUUUUCUCUCAGAAUUCUGUGGAUUGACCGGGCCUAAAUAGCAGCUGUCAUUUGUGAGAUUUCAGUCAGAUGGCAGCUAAUGUUAUCUGAACAUUGACUGGGGUGGAUAAAGACAUGACUCACUCUGAUGGCAGGUAAUCACCAUUCUCACUGGGUAAUCCCAUUUUCCUGGAGGUCAAGUGGGAUUGUUGCCCAAAGGACCCCCACAUGACCUCCUCAUGAAGGUUGUACUUCUUACCUUUUGGUGGCUGGAUUGUAAAAACUGGAAGAAGCCCAGAAAGAAGUCUCAAAGCCUUUUAUGACCUCACCUUGGAAAUACAACAUCACUUUCACUAAGUAGAAUCAUCAACAAUCAUUAUGAUGGCCUAGAUUUAAGGACAGGUGAAUUUCAUUUCCGCUCUUGAUGUGAGAAGCAGCAUGCACAAAAAAGUAGAAGAACAAACUGAUGGCAGACAUCUUUGUACACUAGCUACCACAAAAGAGCCCCUCAGUUUUCCCAUUGAUGAAAACAAGUCAGACAGAGGACAAAGAAAGAUACAGCGACUCGAAAGUAGGGACGACUAAUGAAGUUCAGACCGGAAGCCCUGAGAGGCGAGAGGAUGGCUGGGAUAAGAGAGCUAAAAUGUGUUUCUGAAACACCGCCAAGAAGCCAUGUCUGAUUCACUGUGAGUAAACAAGUUCUUUAAUCUCCAUCAGAGCCACACAGAUGUCCAG
RNAcentral lists this long non-coding RNA (1243 nucleotides) under Macaca mulatta (Rhesus monkey). RNAcentral describes it as "lncRNA (ENSMMUG00000057013.1)". The record is from RNAcentral. Lineage: Eukaryota; Metazoa; Chordata; Mammalia; Primates; Cercopithecidae.